Rhododendron vialii is the source of this 553-nucleotide long non-coding RNA. RefSeq lists it as uncharacterized. The record is from RefSeq and is a predicted model, not a curated record. Lineage: Eukaryota; Viridiplantae; Streptophyta; Magnoliopsida; Ericales; Ericaceae. The transcript has 2 exons.
CAUAGAUUUUCAUUUGUUUUUGUUGCUUAUCGAAGGCGGCGAUCCAAGGCGGUCUGUUGGAUAGCUGGCCAGGUGCAGCCAACUUUUCUAAGCCUCAGUCAUUGCUGGUCUAGAUCCAUGAGCAUUUGCACCGCCCGAGCAUGGAGUUUUGUCUAGUGAAAAAGUCAUGUUUCUUACCAGAUUGACAGCAGAAUGGAAUUACAAGUUUAAAAACGUGGCCACUCGUCCCGCUCCUGUAUUCGUAAAAGAUACGUACAUGGGAGGAAUCUUGUGCUGAUGUACUUGUUUGCAUCUUCACUGUCUGUGGACAAAUAACGUACGGCUAUAUAACAGCAUACGCCUUGUAUGUCUGGUAAAAGAAAAGUCGUACGUCAACGUACAAUGUAUUGGUGACGAUGGAUGAUCGCGGGAUAGCAGUUUUAACUUGGAAUAGGACUGGGAUUGAUCUCAGAGGAGAAGAAGAAACAGGAUCUAUCAUCUUUUUUCGCGUGGGGGGUUUCUGAAAUCCAGAUCCCCCAAUGGGAUUACGACUGUAUCCCAUGAAAAAAAGUUA